This 496-nucleotide ribosomal RNA is filed under the name uncultured bacterium. RNAcentral describes it as "partial 16S ribosomal RNA". It matches the Rfam family "Bacterial small subunit ribosomal RNA", at positions 30 to 523 of the family's 1533-position model. The record is from RNAcentral.
AUUGAACGCUGGCGGAAUGCUUUACACAUGCAAGUCGAACGGUAGAGGGGGCAACCCCUCGAGAGUGGCGAACGGGUGAGUAAUAUAUCGGAACGUGCCCAGUCGUGGGGGAUAACGUAGCGAAAGUUACGCUAAUACCGCAUACGAUCUAAGGAUGAAAGCGGGGGAUCGCAAGACCUCGCGCGAUUGGAGCGGCCGAUAUCAGAUUAGGUAUUUGGUGGGGUAAAGGCUCACCAAGCCAACGGUCUGUAGCUGGUCUGAGAGGACGACCAGCCACACUGGAACUGAGACACGGUCCAGACUCCUACGGGAGGCAGCAGUGGGUAAUUUUGGACAAUGGACGCAAGUCUGAUCCAGCCAUUCCGCGUGCAGGAUGAAGGCCCUCGGGUUGUAAACUGCUUUUGUACGGAACGAAAAGGUCUCUCUUAAUACGGGGGACUCAUGACGGUACCGUAAGAAUAAGCACCGGCUAACUACGUGCCAGCCGCCGCAGUAA